UGGGGAAUAUUGCACAAUGGGCGCAAGCCUGAUGCAGCAAUGCCGCGUGAGUGAAGACGGCCUUAGGGUUGUAAAACUCUUUCGCUAGGGAAGAUAAUGACGGUACCUAGUAAAGAAGUCCCGGCUAACUCCGUGCCAGCAGCCGCGGUAAUACGUAGGGUGCAAGCGUUGUCCGGAAUUAUUGGGCGUAAAGAGCUCGUAGGCGGUCCGUUGCGUCUGCCGUGAAAACCCGGAGCUCAACUCCGGGCCUGCGGUGGAUACGGGCGGACUAGAGUCCGGUAGGGGGAGACUGGAAUUCCUGGUGUAGCGGUGGAAUGCGCAGAUAUCAGGAGGAACACCAGUGGCGAAGGCGCCGCUCUGGGCCGUAACUGACGCUGAGGAGCGAAAGCAU
This 391-nucleotide ribosomal RNA is filed under the name uncultured bacterium. RNAcentral's name for it is "bacterial SSU rRNA". It matches the Rfam family "Bacterial small subunit ribosomal RNA", at positions 355 to 762 of the family's 1533-position model. The record is from RNAcentral.